RNAcentral lists this small RNA (148 nucleotides) under Macaca mulatta (Rhesus monkey). RNAcentral describes it as "Metazoan signal recognition particle RNA (ENSMMUG00000061422.1)". It matches the Rfam family "Metazoan signal recognition particle RNA". Rfam says of the family: The signal recognition particle (SRP) is a universally conserved ribonucleoprotein. It is involved in the co-translational targeting of proteins to membranes. The record is from Rfam by way of RNAcentral. Lineage: Eukaryota; Metazoa; Chordata; Mammalia; Primates; Cercopithecidae.
GCCGGGCGUGGUGACACAUGCCUGUAGUCCCAGCUACCUGGGAGGCUGAGGUGAGAGAAUCACUUGAGCCCAGGAGGUCAAGGCUGCAGUGAGCUAAGAUCCCGCCACUGCACUCUAGCCUGGGCGACAGAGCGAGACUCCGUCUCAA